UACAGAGGUGGCAAGCGUUGUUCGGAAUUACUGGGCGUAAAGGGCGCGUAGGCGGGAUGGCAAGUCGGUCGUGAAAUCCUUCGGCUCAACCGAAGAACGUCGAUCGAUACUGCUGUUCUAGAGGGUUGCAGAGGAGACUGGAAUUCCCGGUGUAGCGGUGAAAUGUGUAGAGAUCCGGAGGAACACCAGAGGCGAAAGCGGCGCUCUGGGCUGCACCUGACGCUGAACUGCGAAAGCCAGGGGAGCGAACGGG
This 253-nucleotide ribosomal RNA is filed under the name uncultured bacterium. Its description in RNAcentral is "partial 16S ribosomal RNA". It matches the Rfam family "Bacterial small subunit ribosomal RNA", at positions 524 to 776 of the family's 1533-position model. The record is from RNAcentral.